Molecule: ribosomal RNA, 253 nt
Filed under: uncultured bacterium
Lineage: Bacteria
Description: partial 16S ribosomal RNA
Rfam family: Bacterial small subunit ribosomal RNA
Source: RNAcentral
UACGUAGGGACCAAGCGUUGUUCGGAUUUACUGGGCGUAAAGGGCGCGUAGGCGGCGAAUCAAGUCAGUUGUGAAAUCUCCGAGCUUAACUCGGAACGGUCAACUGAUACUGUUUUGCUAGAGUACAGAAGGGGCAACCGGAAUUCUUGGUGUAGCGGUGAAAUGCGUAGAUAUCAAGAGGGACACCUGAGGUGAAGACGGGUUGCUGGGCUGAUACUGACGCUGAGGCGCGAAAGCUAGGGUAGCAAACGGG